GCCUAAAUUUUCUUUCCCCUCCCAAAAUCCAUCAUAAUACUUCUCAUUUCUAAUCCCCCAGUUAAUUAAUAACACAAAUACACAGAUCUUUCUGCAUUAGUUGAAAACCCUAGCGCCUACCGCUACCAUCUUCACAUCAGCUCUAACCAUCUUCACCUUUUCCAACUACGUCACCGUCGGCUACCUCUUCGGAAUUAAGCCCAAGAUCAAAGGCUCAUCGAUGGUCACCGGAGGCUUGAUCGGAGUUAUGCGUACGAGAACUCUACUGGACAUUUGAUGGGAACUACAGUGAGUUAUGCGUACCUGAACUCCACUGGACGUUUGAUGGAGAAGUUCCACCUUUGAUUUUCAAGAACUUCUGGCAUGUCCGGUUUAUGCAGUCUGGUUUAUUCUCAGAUCAACUUGGUGUCCAUAGAGCGGAUGCGUAAAAGAACCACACUAAUGAAGUUUAUGAAGGAGAUAGCUUAUGAUGGAGUUGAAAUACUUGACAAUGAUAAUAAGUAGAGGAAUACUCGGCUGCGGAUAUGGAUGGCAUUCGCGAAGAUUGGUCGACUUAUGCGGUUACCUCUAUUUUUAAGUGACAUUUUAGGUGUUGAUAAUGUAUUGACAAACAAUUCUUUUUUUGUUAACGUUAAAAUAUUUGUAGUAUACUUGACAAAUGAUUAUGUAAUGGAUUGUUUUGGUAUAUA
Molecule: long non-coding RNA, 689 nt
Organism: Helianthus annuus (common sunflower)
Lineage: Eukaryota; Viridiplantae; Streptophyta; Magnoliopsida; Asterales; Asteraceae
Exons: 5
Source: RefSeq, a predicted model, not a curated record